CCCUAACUCUAAAAUCUGUUCCUCAUACUCCCCCAACAUCCUAUCUUCGAAAGUAGCCUCGUCGGAGUCCUCCAUGGGCUCGUCCACCAUACGCUCCUCCAUAGGCUCCUCCUCAGGAUCAGACUCCUAGGGUAUUGGCUCCAUCUCCUCUUCCUCAUCAUCAUCAUCAUCAUCGAUAGGGACUACAGUUGAUGUAGGUUCUGCUAUCA
Molecule: long non-coding RNA, 209 nt
Filed under: Panax ginseng (ginseng)
Lineage: Eukaryota; Viridiplantae; Streptophyta; Magnoliopsida; Apiales; Araliaceae
Description: long non-coding RNA (PGIN_LNC000857)
Source: RNAcentral